Molecule: ribosomal RNA, 318 nt
Filed under: Triticum aestivum (bread wheat)
Lineage: Eukaryota; Viridiplantae; Streptophyta; Magnoliopsida; Poales; Poaceae
Description: partial small subunit ribosomal RNA
Source: RNAcentral
AUGUACAACUACAAAAUGUCCCAAGUCAAAGAAUGUGGGAUUGGGUUGUACAAGUUGCUUACCUGCCUGUGUGUACUUUCAACAUUGUUUGAGGUGUUGAAUGAUGUGUUUACUUCCUUCAAAACAAAAAUGAUGUGUUUACUUUGGGUGGAAACCUCCUCUCAGUGGCAUUGCUUCCGCAGAUGGAACAUCGUAUGCAUCAACGAUUUUCGAGUUUCUGGCAGCAAUGAAUCUCCGCUUGCUGUCUCCGAUCACUGCACCCGUAGUGCCCUGGAGAUUGUCCUCAUCGGUCGAAAGAGGCAUCAACGUUUACUUUGA